GAGGACAAGUGAUUGGAGCAUAUCAUACGGCUUGGGGUCCCAGGGCCGGGAUAUUUAUCCUGGCUUGCACCAUCCCAGGCUGUUUGUCAGCAUCGAUUUUGUGUGGGGGAGAAAGCGUGUGACGUUGAUGGCUUCGGCUUGAUCGUUGUGCGUGCAACCUUGCGUGGGAUCGAGGCAACCAAAGUCUGCGCGCUAUUUGCGGCCGGCCCUCUGCGCGCGUUUUGGCGGAGGUCACACCCUUUUCUGGUGUGUGGCUUUCGUGGAGGCGUGAGGUAUAUUUAUGAGGAGCGCUGGACCUGCGGACUGAAGAUGCUGGCACAAAUGGCUUCCAUCAGCCCGUA
RNAcentral lists this ribosomal RNA (341 nucleotides) under Chroomonas nordstedtii. RNAcentral's name for it is "partial large subunit ribosomal RNA". The record is from RNAcentral. Lineage: Eukaryota; Cryptophyceae; Pyrenomonadales; Chroomonadaceae.